UCAUUGGUAGUUCAGUGGUAGAAUACUCGCCUUCCAUGCAGGAGACUCGGGUUCGAUUCUCAGUCAAUACA
This 71-nucleotide transfer RNA is filed under the name Loxodonta africana (African savanna elephant). It matches the Rfam family "tRNA". From Rfam's summary of the family: Transfer RNA (tRNA) molecules are approximately 80 nucleotides in length. Their secondary structure includes four short double-helical elements and three loops (D, anti-codon, and T loops). Further hydrogen bonds mediate the characteristic L-shaped molecular structure. tRNAs have two regions of fundamental functional importance: the anti-codon, which is responsible for specific mRNA codon recognition, and the 3' end, to which the tRNAs corresponding amino acid is attached (by aminoacyl-tRNA synthetases). tRNAs cope with the degeneracy of the genetic code in two manners: having more than one tRNA (with a specific anti-codon) for a particular amino acid; and 'wobble' base-pairing, i.e. permitting non-standard base-pairing at the 3rd anti-codon position. The record is from Rfam by way of RNAcentral. Lineage: Eukaryota; Metazoa; Chordata; Mammalia; Proboscidea; Elephantidae.